UACGUAGGGGGCAAGCGUUGUCCGGAAUUAUUGGGCGUAAAGAGCGCGUAGGCGGUCCGGUAAGUCGGUUGUGAAAGUCGGGGGCUCAACCCUCGGAUGCCGAUCGAUACUGUCGGGCUAGAGUCCGGAAGAGGCGAGUGGAAUUCCUGGUGUAGCGGUGAAAUGCGCAGAUAUCAGGAGGAACACCAAUGGCGAAGGCAGCUCGCUGGGACGGUACUGACGCUGAGGCGCGAAGGCCAGGGGAGCAAACGGG
Molecule: ribosomal RNA, 253 nt
Filed under: uncultured bacterium
Lineage: Bacteria
Description: partial 16S ribosomal RNA
Rfam family: Bacterial small subunit ribosomal RNA
Source: RNAcentral